Molecule: ribosomal RNA, 492 nt
Filed under: uncultured bacterium
Lineage: Bacteria
Description: partial 16S ribosomal RNA
Rfam family: Bacterial small subunit ribosomal RNA
Source: RNAcentral
AGUGAACGCUGGCGGUAGGCCUAACACAUGCAAGUCGAACGGCAGCACAGUAAGAGCUUGCUCUUACGGGUGGCGAGUGGCGGACGGGUGAGGAAUACAUCUGAAUCUACUUUUUCGUGGGGGAUAACGUAGGGAAACUUACGCUAAUACCGCAUACGACCUACGGGUGAAAGCAGGGGAUCUUCGGACCUUGCGCGAUUGAAUGAGCCGAUGUCGGAUUAGUUAGUUGGCGGGGUAAAGGCCCACCAAGGCGACGAUCCGUAGCUGGUCUGGGAGGAGGAUCAGCCACACUGGAACGGAGACACGGUCCAGACUCCUACGGGAGGCAGCAGUGGGGAAUAUUGGACAAUGGGCGCAAGCCUAAUCCAGCCAUACCGCGUGGGUGAAGAAGGCCUUCGGGUUGUAAAGCCCUUUUGUUGGGAAAGAAAAGCAGCAGGUUAAUACCCCGCUGUUCUGACGGUACCCAAAGAAUAAGCACCGGCUAACUUCGUG